GCCCUCGUAGCUCAGCUGGAUAGAGCGUCCCCCUCCUAAGGGGAAGGCCGUGCGUUCGAAUCGCGCCGGGGGCACCA
This 77-nucleotide transfer RNA is filed under the name Methylophilaceae bacterium. Its description in RNAcentral is "tRNA-Arg". It matches the Rfam family "tRNA". From Rfam's summary of the family: Transfer RNA (tRNA) molecules are approximately 80 nucleotides in length. Their secondary structure includes four short double-helical elements and three loops (D, anti-codon, and T loops). Further hydrogen bonds mediate the characteristic L-shaped molecular structure. tRNAs have two regions of fundamental functional importance: the anti-codon, which is responsible for specific mRNA codon recognition, and the 3' end, to which the tRNAs corresponding amino acid is attached (by aminoacyl-tRNA synthetases). tRNAs cope with the degeneracy of the genetic code in two manners: having more than one tRNA (with a specific anti-codon) for a particular amino acid; and 'wobble' base-pairing, i.e. permitting non-standard base-pairing at the 3rd anti-codon position. The record is from RNAcentral. Lineage: Bacteria; Pseudomonadati; Pseudomonadota; Betaproteobacteria; Nitrosomonadales; Methylophilaceae.